RNAcentral lists this long non-coding RNA (543 nucleotides) under Citrus maxima (pomelo). RNAcentral's name for it is "long non-coding RNA (CMAX_LNC003916)". The record is from RNAcentral. Lineage: Eukaryota; Viridiplantae; Streptophyta; Magnoliopsida; Sapindales; Rutaceae.
UUCGAACAUGUUAUGAGAGACCCACAACUAAUUAAUCUACUUUUUCAAUAUAAAACCCUAGCUUUUUGUUUUUUCCCUUGAAUAUUAACAAGAAAACUAAUUACAUGGAAUUACUUGUCUCAACUAGUUACAUUAUGACAAUUUUGCAGUAAAUGAUCAGCUCUCUCCGGCGAUUAUGUAGCGACGAACGAUGCUUCACUUUCUCAGUUGUGGCAACUUCCCCUUCUCAGGCUUAGUUUGCUCGUGUUGAAGUUCGAUUUACCAUGUGUGGAGAAUGAAUGUUUGUUUCGGUAGAGGUGAUGCCGGUGAGGGAAUUGCAAUGUUUGUUUGUUUGAGUUUGAUAAUGGAGGGAAUUGCAGUAGAUGAGUGUUUGUUUGCUUCAGUAGAGAAGGGAGAGGUGCUGUCCGUUGAGUUGAAAUGUUUUAAAAUAAGGAUAGCUUAGUAAUUUCCUAUCAGUUUUUAAAGGGUAUCGAUGAAAAUUUUGGCAAAAACAGAUUUUAGGGUAUUGAGAUAAUUUUUGAAGUAUGGAGGUGUACCGGGCGC